AACCAUAGGCCAUGAAUCUGGUCUUGGGACACUGUCAGGUGGGCAGUUUGACUGGGGCGGUCGCCUCCCAAAAGGUAACGGAGGCGCUCAAAGGUUCGCUCAGUACGGUCGGAAAUCGUACGUAGAGGGUAAAGGCAAAAGAGAGCUUGAUUGCAAGACAUACAGGUCGAGCAAGGAUGAAAAUCGGACUUAGUGAUCCGGUGGUUCUGCGUGGAAGGGCCAUCG
Molecule: ribosomal RNA, 225 nt
Filed under: Clostridioides sp. ZZV14-6104
Lineage: Bacteria; Bacillati; Bacillota; Clostridia; Peptostreptococcales; Peptostreptococcaceae
Description: partial 23S ribosomal RNA
Rfam family: Bacterial large subunit ribosomal RNA
Source: RNAcentral